CCAGCCAGAUCAUCUGCUUUUGCGAAAGACGGUCACUGGGGCCCUUCACUUCCACCAGCUGGGAGACAGAAGGGUCAUUCAGGUCUGCAGUUAAACCCAAACUUCUUGCCAUGACCUACAAAACUGUGUAAUCUGGUGCCUGCCAACCACACCAAAGGCUUCCUCUCAGUUCGCGAGACAGACAACAUCUGCCCAACCAAAGGGUACACAUUCAUCACGCUUGCUGUUCCCACCGCCUAGGACACGUCUCCCUGUUCUUCACGUGUCUGACGUCUUCUCCUUCCGUGCUCAGCUUAAAUUCAUCUCUAAGAAGGGUCCUUCCUAUGCACUUCUUCAUGGUGUUUAUCACAAGAUAAAACUGCUCAUUACAUAUCAGCUC
Non-coding RNA from Delphinapterus leucas (beluga whale), 379 nucleotides. Lineage: Eukaryota; Metazoa; Chordata; Mammalia; Artiodactyla; Monodontidae. The record is from RefSeq and is a predicted model, not a curated record.